RNAcentral lists this ribosomal RNA (253 nucleotides) under uncultured bacterium. RNAcentral's name for it is "partial 16S ribosomal RNA". It matches the Rfam family "Bacterial small subunit ribosomal RNA", at positions 524 to 776 of the family's 1533-position model. The record is from RNAcentral.
UACGUAGGUGGCAAGCGUUGUCCGGAUUUACUGGGCGUAAAGCGAACGCAGGCGGACCUUUAAGUAGGAAGUGAAAGGUUGGAGCUCAACUCUAACACUGCUCCCUAUACUGGAGGUCUUGAGUGUCGGAGAGGAAGACGGAACUGCAGGUGUAGCGGUGAAAUGCGUUGAUAUCUGCAGGAACACCAAUGGCGAAAGCAGUCUUCUGGACGAAUACUGACGCUGAGGUUCGAAAGCCAAGGUAGCAAACAGG